Molecule: non-coding RNA, 226 nt
Organism: Camellia sinensis
Lineage: Eukaryota; Viridiplantae; Streptophyta; Magnoliopsida; Ericales; Theaceae
Source: RefSeq, a predicted model, not a curated record
GGAUUUGCGAAGGCAAAGAUCUCCAUUGGAUUUGCGAAGGCAACGAUCUAGUGGCGGCGAUCUCCGUCGGCGUUACCACGGUGGUUCUCCGGCGUGCCCUGUUUAGGUUUCCCCCCUUUCUCAGGGAGGUUGGUUAAGAGAGCAUAUGAUGCAUUGUUGUUGGACGCUGGUGGCACUCUUUUGCAAUUGGUGAAACCUGUCGAAGAGACUUACGCAUCAAUCGGCA